RNAcentral lists this ribosomal RNA (261 nucleotides) under uncultured Glomus. RNAcentral describes it as "partial 18S ribosomal RNA". It matches the Rfam family "Eukaryotic small subunit ribosomal RNA", at positions 624 to 886 of the family's 1831-position model. The record is from RNAcentral. Lineage: Eukaryota; Fungi; Glomeromycota; Glomeromycetes; Glomerales; Glomeraceae.
AAGCUCGUAGUUGAAUUUCGGGGUUAGUAGGUUGGUCAUGCCUCUGGUAUGUACUGGUCUCACUGAUUCCUCCUUCCUUAUGAACCGUAAUGCCAUUAAUUUGGUGUUGCGGGGAAUUUGGACUGUUACUUUGAAAAAAUUAGAGUGUUUGAAGCAAGCUAACGCUUGAAUACAUUAGCAUGGAAUAAUGAAAUAGGACGUUCGAUCUUAUUUUGUUUGGUUUUCUUAGGAUUGACGUAAUGAUUAAUAGGGAUAGUUGGG